UACGAAGGGGGCUAGCGUUGUUCGGAAUUACUGGGCGUAAAGCGCACGUAGGCGGAUAUUUAAGUCAGGGGUGAAAUCCCGGGGCUCAACCCCGGAACUGCCUUUGAUACUGGGUAUCUAGAGUAUGGUAGAGGUGAGUGGAAUUCCGAGUGUAGAGGUGAAAUUCGUAGAUAUUCGGAGGAACACCAGUGGCGAAGGCGGCUCACUGGACCAUUACUGACGCUGAGGUGCGAAAGCGUGGGGAGCAAACAGG
This 253-nucleotide ribosomal RNA is filed under the name uncultured bacterium. Its description in RNAcentral is "partial 16S ribosomal RNA". It matches the Rfam family "Bacterial small subunit ribosomal RNA", at positions 524 to 776 of the family's 1533-position model. The record is from RNAcentral.